AGGAUGAACGCUAGCGGCAUGCUUAACACAUGCAAGUCGAACGAGGAUCAGAUAGCUUGCUAACUGGUCCUAGUGGCGGACGGGUGAGUAACGCGUAAGAAUCUGCCCCUAGGAGAGGGAUACCAACUGGAAACGGUUGUUAAUACCUCAUAUGCUGAGGAGUGAAAUGGUUUCAUACCGCCUAGGGAUGAGCUUGCGUCUGAUUAGCUAGUUGGUGGGGUAAUAGCCUACCGAGGCAAUGAUCAGUAGCUGGUCUGAGAGGACAAUCAGCCACACUGGGACUGAGACACGGCCCAGACUCCUACGGGAGGCAGCAGUGAGGAAUUUCGCAAUGGGCGAAAGCCUGACGGAGCAAUGCCGCGUGGAGGAAGACGGCCCGUGGGUUGUAAACUCCUUUUCUUGGAGAAGAAUAACUGACGGUAUCCAAGGAAUAAGCAUCGGCUAACUCCGUGCCAGCAGCCGCGGU
RNAcentral lists this ribosomal RNA (466 nucleotides) under uncultured bacterium. Its description in RNAcentral is "SSU rRNA". It matches the Rfam family "Bacterial small subunit ribosomal RNA", at positions 26 to 521 of the family's 1533-position model. The record is from RNAcentral.